GGUUGUAUAGUGUAGUGGUGAGCACAUCUGAUUUUGAAUCUAUAUGAUCAAUCUUCAGGGAACCCAGGUUCGAGCCCUGGUACGACCU
RNAcentral lists this transfer RNA (88 nucleotides) under Zymoseptoria brevis. It matches the Rfam family "tRNA". From Rfam's summary of the family: Transfer RNA (tRNA) molecules are approximately 80 nucleotides in length. Their secondary structure includes four short double-helical elements and three loops (D, anti-codon, and T loops). The record is from Rfam by way of RNAcentral. Lineage: Eukaryota; Fungi; Ascomycota; Dothideomycetes; Mycosphaerellales; Mycosphaerellaceae.